GUUUGUGAAUAAGGCAAGUUUUAAUGUAAACAUGACAUGGCCAUACAAUAUGUUAGCUUUUUCUGGUUAAUAUUGAUUAAGCAUAAUUACAAAGUGCAUCUCCCUAUUAAUGUCAAAACAUACUUUUCUAGCUGAACCGACAUGUGUGCAAACUCCUCAACAUCAAGCGUUCUUUAUGUGCACCCUAUCACCCACAAACAAAUGGACUUGUGGAAAGGAUGAAUUCUACCAUACAGAGAGCUCUUUGCAAGCUUGUCAAAGACAAGGCAAAGGACUGGGAUAAGCAUCUUGAUGCUGUCAUGUUUGGUAUACGUACAAAAGACAAAUGACAACAAAGUUCUCCCCUUACUUUUUAAUGGGAGUGAGACCCGUUAUCCUUGUGAGAUUCCAGAGGAUUACAGGAUCAACCAAAGCGUGGAAGAAAUGGUGUCUGUUGAGCAAGUGACAGAAUCUGCAGUAAGACUCAGUGAAGCUUUGCUUGAGGUUGAGGAAAACAUUAAAACCUCCUAAAGAAAAUGUUUAAAAAGUAAAAUCAUCCACCAAACAUUUUAAAGAGUGAGACAAAGUGUGGAGACUGAAUGUGAGAAGCCAACAGCGGAAAGGCAGAAAACUUGAGGCAAACUACCUUGGUCCAUUCACAAUAUCUGCAUUGGAUGGAAAGAGUGCUAACCUGAAGAAUGUGAGGGUUGUCAAAAAAACUAAAAAUAAACAUUGACCAUUUAAAGCCUUAUUUUGAAGACAUUCCUAAAGUCCCUUAAGUAACAAAAACCCUCAAAUUUCUCUGAAAUAUCAAAAAAUGCAAUUGCCUGUACUCCGGCCCAUAUUCCUGCCUCUUCAGUCAGCUCUACGCCACAGGGUACUGGUCAAAUCCCUCCUGCAUCUCCGGUCAGCUCUGCACAACAGACUUCAAUUCAUAUACAAACUUCCACACCAGACUUUAGUACAAAUUCCUCCUACCUUGCCACUCAGCUCCUCUCCAUAUACUCCAGUACAAAUUCCUUCUGUCUCGCCAGUCAGCU
Misgurnus anguillicaudatus (oriental weatherfish) is the source of this 1019-nucleotide non-coding RNA. The record is from RefSeq and is a predicted model, not a curated record. NCBI's taxonomy places the organism in Eukaryota, Metazoa, Chordata, Actinopteri, Cypriniformes, Cobitidae.